AGAGCGCUUCCCGGCAAGAGGCUUCAGACUUUUGCACGGAGUCGUAGGAU
RNAcentral lists this small RNA (50 nucleotides) under Sinorhizobium meliloti 2011. RNAcentral describes it as "putative ncRNA". The record is from RNAcentral. Lineage: Bacteria; Pseudomonadati; Pseudomonadota; Alphaproteobacteria; Hyphomicrobiales; Rhizobiaceae.